AGUGAACGCUGGCGGUAGGCCUAACACAUGCAAGUCGAACGGCAGCACAGUAAGAGCCUGCUCUUACGGGUGGCGAGUGGCGGACGGGUGAGGAAUACAUCGGAAUCUACUUUUUCGUGGGGGAUAACGUAGGGAAACUUACGCUAAUACCGCAUACGACCUACGGGUGAAAGCAGGGGAUCUUCGGACCUUGCGCGAUUGAAUGAGCCGAUGUCGGAUUAGCUAGUUGGCGGGGUAAAGGCCCACCAAGGCGACGAUCCGUAGCUGGUCUGAGAGGAUGAUCAGCCACACUGGAACUGAGACACGGUCCAGACUCCUACGGGAGGCAGCAGUGAGGAAUAUUGGACAAUGGGCGCAAGCCUGAUCCAGCCAUACCGCGUGGGUGAAGAAGGCCUUCGGGUUGUAAAGCCCUUUUGUUGGGAAAGAAAAGCAGCAGGUUAAUACCCCGCUGUUCUGACGGUACCCAAAGAAUAAGCACCGGCUAACUUCGUG
RNAcentral lists this ribosomal RNA (492 nucleotides) under uncultured bacterium. RNAcentral describes it as "partial 16S ribosomal RNA". It matches the Rfam family "Bacterial small subunit ribosomal RNA", at positions 29 to 507 of the family's 1533-position model. The record is from RNAcentral.